AAACUAACAAGGAUUCCCCUAGUAACGGCGAGUGAAGAGGGAAGAGCCCAAGAUUGAAAGCUGGCGUCUUCGGCGUCCGCAUUGUAAUCUCAAGAAGUGUUUUCCGCUUCGGACCAUGCCUAAGUCCCUUGGAAAAGGGCAUCAUAGAGGGUGAUAAUCCCGUACAUGGCAUGGAGCGCCCGAAGCUUUGUGAUACGCUUUCUACGAGUCGAGUUGUUUGGGAAUGCAGCUCAAAAUGGGUGGUAAAUGCCAUCUAAGGCUAAAUAUUGGGGAGAGACCGAUAGCGAACAAGUACAGUGAUGGAAAGAUGAAAAGAACUUUGAAAAGAGAGUUAAACAGUACGUGAAAUUGCCAAAAGGGAAGGGUAGGAGGUCAGAGAUGCGUCUUGGGAUUCAGCCUUGCUUUUUCGCUUGGUGUUUUUCCCAAGUUGCAGGCCAACGUCGGUUUUGGGCACUGGAGAAGGGUGGGAGGAACGUGGCACCUCUCGGGGUGUGUUAUAGCCUCCUACUGGAUACAGCGACCGAGACCGAGGACAGCAGCGUACUCGCAAGAGCGGGCCUUCGGGCACCUUUACGCUUAGGGCGUUGGCAUAAUGGCCCUCUACCAC
This 607-nucleotide ribosomal RNA is filed under the name Sporisorium sp. SAM21. RNAcentral's name for it is "LSU rRNA". It matches the Rfam family "Eukaryotic large subunit ribosomal RNA", at positions 62 to 648 of the family's 3401-position model. The record is from RNAcentral. Lineage: Eukaryota; Fungi; Basidiomycota; Ustilaginomycetes; Ustilaginales; Ustilaginaceae.